CGUGUAGGCGGAGGUGCAAGUUGGGAGUGAAAUCCCGGGGCUCAACCCCGGAACUGCUUUCAAAACUGCAUCCCUUGAGUAUCGGAGAGGCAAGCGGAAUUCCUAGUGUAGCGGUGAAAUGCGUAGAUAUUAGGAGGAACACCAGUGGCGAAGGCGGCUUGCUGGACGACAACUGACGCUGAGGCGCGAAAGCGUGGGGAGCAAACA
Molecule: ribosomal RNA, 207 nt
Filed under: uncultured bacterium
Lineage: Bacteria
Description: partial 16S ribosomal RNA
Rfam family: Bacterial small subunit ribosomal RNA
Source: RNAcentral